CCUACGGGUGGCAGCAGUGGGGAAUAUUGGGCAAUGGGCGCAAGCCUGACCCAGCAACGCCGCGUGAGGGAGGAAGGCUUUCGGGUUGUAAACUUCUUUUCUCCGGGGCGAAGCAAGCGGCGGUACCUGGGGAAUAAGCCACGGCUAACUACGUGCCAGCCUCCGGCGUAAUUCGUAGGGGGCAAGCGUUAUCCGGUUUUACUGGGUGUAAAGGGCGUUGAGGCGGGAAAGCAAGUCAGAUGUGAAAACCAUGGGCUUAACCUGUGGCCUGCAGUUGACACUGUUGUUCUUGAGUGCGGGAGAGGUAGACGGAAUGCGUAGUGUAGCGGUGAAAUGCGUAGAUAUUAGGAGGAACACCAGUGGCGAAGGCGGGCUGCUGGACAGCAACUGACGCUGAGGCGCGAAAGCGUGGGGAGCAAACAGGAUUAGAUACCCGGGUAGUC
This 443-nucleotide ribosomal RNA is filed under the name uncultured bacterium. RNAcentral's name for it is "partial 16S ribosomal RNA". It matches the Rfam family "Bacterial small subunit ribosomal RNA", at positions 338 to 795 of the family's 1533-position model. The record is from RNAcentral.